Molecule: long non-coding RNA, 712 nt
Organism: Oreochromis aureus
Lineage: Eukaryota; Metazoa; Chordata; Actinopteri; Cichliformes; Cichlidae
Exons: 3
Source: RefSeq, a predicted model, not a curated record
GGCUGUUGUUGGAGUGCAGCUUAGACACCGUCUGACACACACUUCUGUGUGUCUGACACAGGAGGCUGGGCCGCUUCUCUUUUACCUGUGCAAACACAGGUGUAAGAGCCAUGAUUUGUAAAGCUACGUUAUCUGAUGAUGGCACUCGUUAAUGAGUAAUCAGAGAUGUUGCAGAGGCUCUUUCAUCAAACUGCAGUCUCUCUUUUGUGCCCAACAAAAACACAUCCUCCUGUUGAUACUUGAUGCUGCCGUUUCAUGAAGUCGUGGCUUUUUAUCUUCUCCGCUGCCGGGUGGAGCACAGCUCAGCCUGUCUGGCAUGGAGAGCGUACACAACAGGGACUCGCUGCUUCCUCUGUGAGUGGACUUUAACUCUCCAUGUACAGUACAGAGUGAAGGGAGACAGCGUUCCUCCGAGACCCUGGUGCUACAUAUGACAUGUAACAGACAAACACAGGACAAAGUGCCAUGUGCAAAAAAUUGCACAAAUAAACAAGACAGAACAGGACGAUACACACAAGCAGUGUUGGGCGUGGACUGCAACUGUCCCAGCUGACAGCGAGCCUCCACUCCAACCCCACAUCCACGAGGUUUGCAGAGAGGAACACGCACUCAGCGAAGGAGAUUUAAGUCUUCGUGGCCUCGUUUUUAUCUUUGUACUGCUUCCAGUUUUGUACUCUGUGUGUCACAUGUGGCAUCCUGGUCAGUAAAUGAA